GGCACCGGCUGAAUCAGAGAUUGGCUGGUGCAUGAUAAUCACACACUCUUAUUAGGAGAGCAUUAUGUCUCUGACUGCAGAAGCAAAAGCACAAAUCGUUGCUGAUUUUGGUAAAACUGAG
This is a regulatory RNA element of Salinivibrio sp. KP-1, 121 nucleotides long. It matches the Rfam family "Ribosomal S15 leader". Rfam says of the family: The E. coli Ribosomal S15 gene 5' UTR can form two alternative structures. One that is a series of three hairpins, The other includes a pseudoknot. The record is from Rfam. Lineage: Bacteria; Pseudomonadati; Pseudomonadota; Gammaproteobacteria; Vibrionales; Vibrionaceae.